GUGAAUCAUCAAAUUUUUGAACGCAAAUUGCACUCUCUGGUAUUCCGGAGAGUAUGCCUGUUUGAGGGUCAGUUAAAUAAAAAUCGGUGUUUUGUCGCCGCUUUGCGUAGUGACGCAUCGGGUUUGGGUCGUCUUAUUUUCGGUUAAGUGACCUAAAUUUUUGUAUGAUUUUAGAACUUAUUUAAUUAAUUUUCUUACGUUUGUACUUUCUGACAUUUGGU
This 221-nucleotide unclassified non-coding RNA is filed under the name Glomus sp. Its description in RNAcentral is "partial contains 5.8S ribosomal RNA and internal transcribed spacer 2". The stretch from base 1 to 71 matches the Rfam family "5.8S ribosomal RNA", at positions 84 to 154 of the family's 154-position model. Lineage: Eukaryota; Fungi; Glomeromycota; Glomeromycetes; Glomerales; Glomeraceae. The record is from RNAcentral.